AUGAAGAUGCCGAGUCAUGUAAUAUCUUCAAAGAAGAGAGAAUCUGCAUUUUAUGAAUGUUUUAUUCUUUCUUCAUCGUUACCUCAAGUCAGUGAAUUCAGCUCAUUACAAGCUUCAGCUGGAUCGAAUAGUGGGCCUUCUAUAUAUAUAUUCAGCUGUAUCAUUUCUUACUAUAUAUAUCUUCCUGUCGACCAGACGAAACCAUACAUGGAUCCUUCGCCUCCUUUCUUGCUCAGAACCCAUGAUACAACCUCGGCGGCUGUCCAGCGACUAACAGGUAAUUUCUCUUUCAAUUUGAUGAUGAUGGAUGAGAAUCAGUUCUAUGAUUGCAGCUUAUAA
RNAcentral lists this ribosomal RNA (339 nucleotides) under Triticum aestivum (bread wheat). Its description in RNAcentral is "partial small subunit ribosomal RNA". Lineage: Eukaryota; Viridiplantae; Streptophyta; Magnoliopsida; Poales; Poaceae. The record is from RNAcentral.